AGCGAACGCUGGCGGCAGGCUUAACACAUGCAAGUCGAACGCUCGUAGCAAUACGGGAGUGGCAGACGGGUGAGUAACGCGUGGGAACGUGCCCUUUGGUUCGGAAUAACUCAGGGAAACUUGAGCUAAUACCGGAUAAGCCCCUUACGGGGGAAAGAUUUAUCGCCGAAGGAUCGGCCCGCGUCCGAUUAGCUAGUUGGUGAGGUAAUGGCUCACCAAGGCGACGAUCGGUAGCUGGUCUGAGAGGAUGAUCAGCCACACUGGGACUGAGACACGGCCCAGACUCCUACGGGAGGCAGCAGUGGGGAAUAUUGGACAAUGGGGGCAACCCUGAUCCAGCCAUGCCGCGUGAGUGAUGAAGGCCCUAGGGUUGUAAAGCUCUUUCGACGGGGACGAUAAUGACGGUACCCGUAGAAGAAGCCCCGGCUAACUUCGUGCCAGCCGCCGCCGUAACAC
RNAcentral lists this ribosomal RNA (456 nucleotides) under uncultured bacterium. RNAcentral describes it as "bacterial SSU rRNA". It matches the Rfam family "Bacterial small subunit ribosomal RNA", at positions 29 to 526 of the family's 1533-position model. The record is from RNAcentral.